Molecule: ribosomal RNA, 253 nt
Filed under: uncultured bacterium
Lineage: Bacteria
Description: partial 16S ribosomal RNA
Rfam family: Bacterial small subunit ribosomal RNA
Source: RNAcentral
UACGAAGGGGGCUAGCGUUGCUCGGAAUUACUGGGCGUAAAGGGAGCGUAGGCGGAUAGUUCAGUCAGAGGUGAAAGCCCAGGGCUCAACCUUGGAACUGCCUUUGAUACUGGCUAUCUUGAGUUUGGGAGAGGUAUGUGGAACUCCGAGUGUAGAGGUGAAAUUCGUAGAUAUUCGCAAGAACACCAGUGGCGAAGGCGGCUCACUGGCCCGAUACUGACGCUGAGGCACGAAAGCGUGGGGAGCAAACAGG